RNAcentral lists this ribosomal RNA (450 nucleotides) under uncultured bacterium. Its description in RNAcentral is "partial 16S ribosomal RNA". It matches the Rfam family "Bacterial small subunit ribosomal RNA", at positions 354 to 796 of the family's 1533-position model. The record is from RNAcentral.
GUGGGGAAUUUUGGACAAUGGGCGCAAGCCUGAUCCAGCCAUUCCGCGUGCAGGAUGAAGGCCUUCGGGUUGUAAACUGCUUUUGUACGGAACGAAAAGCCUCUGGUUAAUACCCGGGGGUCAUGACGGUACCGUAAGAAUAAGCACCGGCUAACUACGUGCCAGCAGCCGCGGUAAUACGUAGGGUGCGAGCGUUAAUCGGAAUUACUGGGCGUAAAGCGUGCGCAGGCGGUGAUGUAAGACAGUUGUGAAAACCCCGGGCUCAACCUGGGAACUGCAGCUGUGACUGCAUUGCUGGAGUGCGGCAGAGGGGGAUGGAAUUCCGCGUGUAGCAGUGAAAUGCGUAGAUAUGCGGAGGAACACCGAUGGCGAAGGCAAUCCCCUGGGCCUGCACUGACGCUCAUGCACGAAAGCGUGGGGAGCAAACAGGAUUAGAUACCCGUGUAGUCC